GUUUUUUGGUUGUUGUUUUUGUUUUUGUUUUUGCUUCUUCUGUGACCAAAAGACCCUACAAGAACAACUUAGAGGAGGAAAAGUUUAUUUGGGGCUCAUGGUUUUCAGAGGUCUCCGUCAAUAGAUUGCUCUGUGCCCGGGGAAGAGUUUGGCGGAGGAGAACAUCUCAGGACAUGACAGUUGGGGGGCAGAGAGAGCUCUGCUCAACAAGGACACUAUCCACCUCACAGACAACCCCGGGGAUCUGCCUCCUCCAGCCACACCCGCCCUGCCUAGGUGACCCCAGCUAAUCCAUGCCACUGGAUUCACAGGCUGACUAGGUUAAGCUCUCCGAACCCCAUCAUUUCACCUCUGAACCUUCUUGCCUUGUCAAACACAGGAGCUUCUGGGGGGACACCUCACGUCUGAAUCACAACACCUGCUGUAUAGUGAUCGCCAGUUUCCAGGCUACCAAUGCUCCUGCUAGGGCCAGUUUCCUACACGUGCGAGGCAGGAGCCCAACCACAAACCUGCGAUCUUAUGCCUUAAUGGGUAAUUUUUAUAAUCGUGGCCACAUUCAACCACUGACUCUGGAAAUUUCUGAGCAAUGAUCUGCAGGGAGAAGCUGGUGUGUGCGGGUUCCAGCACCCACAGUUCCUGGUUCUUCUUGUCUCCAUUUCUGUACCCAGCAAACCCAGGACAAUCCCACUUUCCACAACUCUUGUUGCAAAUAACACUGCAAAGAGCUGGGCAGAGAGCACGCACCCCAGCAAGGCGGCUGCAUGAUCCCAGGGCUGGUGGGGUGGGGGAAGACCAGCCCUUCAGCACACCAUAAAUCCCCCUUUUGCCCAUGGGGAGGAGAGACGAGGUGGGG
This 853-nucleotide long non-coding RNA is filed under the name Marmota monax (woodchuck). Lineage: Eukaryota; Metazoa; Chordata; Mammalia; Rodentia; Sciuridae. The record is from RNAcentral.